Molecule: ribosomal RNA, 892 nt
Filed under: uncultured archaeon
Lineage: Archaea
Description: bacterial SSU rRNA
Rfam family: Archaeal small subunit ribosomal RNA
Source: RNAcentral
GCGAAUUCGCCCUUUUCCGGUUGAUCCUGCCGGAGUCCUUGCUAUUGGGAUUCGGCUAAGCCAUGCGAGUCGUGAGGCUUCGGCCCUCGGAGGACGGCUCAGUAACACGUAGAUAAUUUGCCCUUAGGUGGAGGAUACCCUCGGGAAACUGAGAAUAAUACUCCAUACAUCUAGACUGCUGGAAUGCUUUUAGAUUGAAAGAUUUAUCGCCUAAGGAUAAGUCUGCGGACUAUCAGGUAGUAGUUAGGGUAAAUACCCGACUAGCCUACGACAGAUACGGGUAGUGAGAGCUUUAGCCCGGAGAUGAUAUCUGAGACACGAUAUCAGGCACUACGGGGCGCAGCAGGUGCGAAAACUUCGCACUGUGCGAAAGCACGACGAGGGAAUCCCAAGUGCUGGCUCGUAAGAGUCAGCUGUUUUUCUGUCUAACAAACAGAGAGAGUAAGAGCUGGUUAAGACGGGUGCCAGCCGCCGCGGCAUACCUGCGGCUCAGGUGGUCGCCGCUAUUAUUGGGCACUAAAACGUCCGUGGCCGGUUCUAUCAAUGCCUGGGUAAAUCGUACGGCUUAACCGUACGUAAUCCGGGAAGACUGUUCAACUUGGGACCCGGGAGAGGCUAGAGGUACUCCUGGGUUAGAGGUGAAAUUCUGUAAUCCUAGGGGGACCACCAGUGGCGAAGGCGUCUAGCUAGAACGGGUCUGACGGUGAGGGACGAAGCCCUGGGGAGCAAACGGGAUUAGAUACCCCGGUAGUCCAGGGUGUAAACGCUGCUCGCUUGAUGUUAGUCGGGCUCCGAGCCCAACUAGUGUCGGAGAGAAGUUGUUAAGCGAGCUGCCUGGGGAGUACGGUCGCAAGACUGAAACUUAAAGGAAUUCCGAGAAGGGCGAAUUCGU